RNAcentral lists this unclassified non-coding RNA (219 nucleotides) under Hevea brasiliensis (rubber tree). Lineage: Eukaryota; Viridiplantae; Streptophyta; Magnoliopsida; Malpighiales; Euphorbiaceae. The record is from RNAcentral.
CGUUGAAUAAAAAGCAAUCUUGAUAAGCAAACAUGACAACACACGGACAUUACCGCAAACACCUACAAGGCGUAGGAAAUACUAUUAUAAGACAAACAUUCAGACAUUAACACAAACAUCUACGAGGUAUACCAAACAUCCAGAUAUGACAAAGAGAGACAGGCGCAUCAGAUGAGCAUGGAACGGAAGGGAGACGAAAAUGAAGCUUUCAGCCGGAGA